CCUACGGGUGGCAGCAGUGGGGAAUAUUGCGCAAUGGGCGAAAGCCUGAAGCAGCGACGCCGCGUGAGGGAUGAAGGUCUUCGGAUCGUUAAACUCUUUCAGUAUGGGAGUACGGUCCCUGUUCUAAUCAGCUUUGAAUUUACCAUACCUACAAAGGAAGCACCGCCUAACUCCGUGCCAGCAGCCGCGGUAAUACGGAGGGUGCGAGCGUUAAUCUGAAUUACUGGUCUUAAAGCGCUCGUAGGCGGUAGGUCAAGUCAGGGGUGAAGUCCCCGGGCUCAACCUGGGAACUGCAUUUGAAACUGGGAAACUGGAGUGUGUGAGAGGAUAGUGGAAUUCGAGGUGUAGGAGUGAAAUGCGUAGAUAUCUGGAGGAACAGCAGUGGCGAAGGCGACUACCUGGAAAAUAACUGACGCUGAGGAGCGAAAGUGUGGGUAGCAAACAGGAUUAGAUACCCGUGUAGUC
RNAcentral lists this ribosomal RNA (465 nucleotides) under uncultured bacterium. RNAcentral's name for it is "partial 16S ribosomal RNA". It matches the Rfam family "Bacterial small subunit ribosomal RNA", at positions 338 to 795 of the family's 1533-position model. The record is from RNAcentral.